This 634-nucleotide ribosomal RNA is filed under the name uncultured Bacteroidota bacterium. RNAcentral's name for it is "bacterial SSU rRNA". It matches the Rfam family "Bacterial small subunit ribosomal RNA", at positions 9 to 632 of the family's 1533-position model. The record is from RNAcentral. Lineage: Bacteria; Pseudomonadati; Bacteroidota.
GAGUUUGAUCAUGGCUCAGGAUGAACGCUAGCGGCAGGCUUAAUACAUGCAAGUCGUGGGGCAGCAUGGUGGUAGCAAUACCACUGAUGGCGACCGGCAAACGGGUGCGGAACACGUACGCAACCUACCCAUAAUUGGGGAAUAGCCCAGGGAAACUUGGAUUAAUACCCCGUAACAUAUUGAUAAGGCAUCUUAUUACUAUUAUAGCUACGGCGAUUAUGGAUGGGCGUGCGCCUGAUUAGGUAGUUGGCAGGGUAACGGCCUACCAAGCCUGCGAUCAGUAACUGGUGUGAGAGCACGACCAGUCACACGGGCACUGAGACACGGGCCCGACUCCUACGGGAGGCAGCAGUAAGGAAUAUUGGUCAAUGGACGCAAGUCUGAACCAGCCAUGCCGCGUGGAGGAUGAAGGUCCUCUGGAUUGUAAACUUCUUUUAUCUGGGAAGAAAUCCAUUUUUUCUAAAGUGGUUGACGGUACCAGAUGAAUAAGCACCGGCUAACUCCGUGCCAGCAGCCGCGGUAAUACGGAGGGUGCAAGCGUUAUCCGGAUUUACUGGGUUUAAAGGGUGCGUAGGCGGAUAGGUAAGUCAGUGGUUGAAAUCCCCCGAGCUCAACGUGAGAACUGCCGUUGAUA